Molecule: long non-coding RNA, 5102 nt
Organism: Leopardus geoffroyi (Geoffroy's cat)
Lineage: Eukaryota; Metazoa; Chordata; Mammalia; Carnivora; Felidae
Exons: 2
Source: RefSeq, a predicted model, not a curated record
AUAAAUAAAUAAACUUAAAAAAAAAAAAAAAAAAAAAGGUAGUUCUUUAUUUUCUUUUAUAGUUUUAUCUCCCAAGCGUGGCUCUCUGGGCACUAAAGUUUAGUUUUGCCUCUGUAUGUCUUUUAUGUCUAAUUACAGUCUUUAGAUUUCCUCCUCAUCAUCCCUUUAUUUUCGUAACACUUUAUUUAUUGGCAAAUCCAAGUCAUUUGGCCUAGAGAUUUCCCCACAGUCUGGAUGGUAUCGAUUGCACAGUGCCGUUAAAGAUGUGCCUCUGUCCUCCGUGUUUCCUACGCAGUGGUAGCUGGAUCCAGAGGUCUGGUCAGACUUGGGGCUGAUUCAGUUGGGCAGGUUUACAGAUGGUGUAAUGCUUCCACCAGUUACAUAUUACAUCUGGUUUUUGUUCAUUUUUUAUUCUGUUACCUAUAUCUGGUAGUUCCCCGGGAGCUGCAAAAUCGUGAGAUUCUGAUUUUAUCAUUUUGUUUUCAUUUGUUAGCUAGAACAUAAUUGUAUAUGGCAGUGCUUCCUGGCGUCUAUUCGGUUGCCCAGUUGUGCGGUUUAUAUCAGAAAGGCAAGAUAAGGGCUUGAUAUUUUUCUUUACCCAAUUUUCAAAUAGUGCAUUAGGUACCCUUAAGCCUUUUUUUUUUUUUUUUUAAUGUUUAUUUAUCUUUUGAGAGAGAGAGAGAGAGAGAGUGGUGGAGGAGCAGAGAGAGGGGGGCACAGAGGAUCCCAAGCGAGCUCUGCACUGACAGCAGCGAGCCUGAUGUGGGGCUCAAAGUCACAAACCACGAGAUGAUGACCCCACCUGAAGCUAGAUGCCCAACCACUGAGCCGCCCAGGCGCCCACCUUCAACCUGUUUUGGCCGGUUUCAGGUCAUUGCAGUUCCUGAUCCUUACUGAGGCCCCAUUCCUCCACCCUGGCUACUGGGAGCCUCCUGCAGUGGCUUCUGAGUGCCUGUGGUACGACCCCCCUGGCCUGCUCGUGUCCUGGUGUCUGUGUGUCUAGGUGCUCUGUCCUUGUCUCGUACGGUUUCCACAGCAGAUCCGGGAUCAGCAUUUCUUCUAGAACCCAAGGAGUUUCUUUUCAUGAGAAGUGAUUUUUAAGAGCAUAGUCUGGGCCAUUUAGGUCUCAUUGUUACCAGGUUGGUCAUUAUUUCUGGAUAUUUUGAUUUAUGUAUUUGAAAAUUUCUAAAACUUCAGUGGACAGACUGGGAAAUAUCCAUUAUGUCUCAUAAAUCAUACAAUAUUUUAAACUCCGAUUCAGGAUAAUAGAGUUUUUAUUUAGCCUCAUCUUUAUUCCAUCUGUAUCUGCUUUCUUUCAUACAGAGGUGCCCGAUUCUCAGGGACACAGAAUCUCCCACAAUUGUUUUAUCUCACCUUACCCCUUCAGUAGUCUCAGAGUGACAGUAUUUUUUUUUUUUUUUAAUGUUUAUUUUUAUUUUUGAGACAGAGAGCGCAAGCCUGGGAGGGGCAGAGAGAGAGGGAGACACAGAAUCUGAAGCCGGCACCAGGCUCUAAGCUGUCAGCACAGAGCCUGACGCUGGGCUCGAGCUCAUGAACCGUGAGAUCAUGACCUGAGCUGAAGUCAGACACUUAAUUGACUGAGCCACCCAGGCGCCCCUCAGAGUGACAAUACGUAUUAAUACUGCCACCACCAGUUAUGGUAACUGAAAGAGUUUUUAAAAAAAACUUUGCACUCUCCUUAUGAGAUUUGGAUUCUGUUGUUUCAUUUUCAUUUCUUAGCCACAAUAAUUUUAUAUGUUCUUUCCCUAUGUUUUUAUUAAAUAAUUGUUUUCAUGUUUAUUUACUUUUGAGACAGAGAGAGUGCGUGCGCUCGCAUGUGCAGAGUGGGGGGAGGGGCAGAGAGGAGAGCACAGAGGAUCCUAAGUGGGCUCUGUGCUGUCAGUGGAGAGCCUGAUGAGGGGCUCGAACUCAUGAACCAUGAGGUCAUGACCUGAGCUGAAGUUGGACGCUCUACCAGCUGAGCUCCACCCCCGUCCCCACCCCGCCCCAUCCCCGACCAUGUUUUAAAUGAUGGUACUUUGUCUACAUUUUCCAAGUGUGUGUAUAUAUUUAAUCUUCACCAUUAGUCCUGCUCUAGAUGUCUCUCUAGUCAUGUUAGUUUUCUGAGUUUGUUUUCUAGUAGAGUCCUUAGAAAGGGCUUAUAGGAACACUAUUUCCUGACCUCUUCAGUGCUUCGAACAGGUUGAUUGUACUCUUACACGUGAAGGUCAGAUUUGCUGGCUCAUGUUUCUUUUUUUAAAUUGGGGUGUAGUUGGCACACACCAUUAGUUUCAGGUAUCAACACGAUACAGUAUUUGUAUGUGGUGCAGAAUCAUCAGCGCAGUAAAUCUGUACCCAUCACCACACACAGUUACGGAAUCUGUUUUUCUCGUGAUGAGAACUUACUCUUUUAGCAGCUUCCAGAUUUUCACCAUGCUAUGGUUAACUAUAGCUGCCACAUCAUGUUUUUGCCUCUUGAGUUCCUUAAAUAUCAUUGCUGUCAAAGUAUUGAUAAUCUAAUUGUCUUUCUCAUCACUCACAUACCCUUUUUGCCUAGAUGACGGAAGAAUUUUUUGUUUCAUUUAAAAUCCAGUAAUUUCAGUGUACAAUAUAUCUUCAUGUUGGUUUUCUGGACCAGUGUGCUCUUGAAGUAAGAAGUUUCAAAUCUUUUAAUUCAGGAGAAUGUUUUUUGGAUUAUAGUUUUUAGUAUUUGUUCUUAUACUGAAAUUCGGUUUUCUUUUUCAGAAGCUCCUGUAUCUGUAUGCUCGUUGUUCCUUGCCUGUCUUUAGUAUUUGUUACUUUCUCCCGAAUCCAUUUUGGAGUUUUUCUUUCUUUUUCUUUUUCUUUUUUUCUUUUUUUUACUUCUAAAAGUCUUCUUUUCACAUAUCCUAAGGCAUUGGUGGCUAUGUCUGUUCACUCUUGUUUCCCUUUUGUCUUAGCCUUCAUUUUUUACAUAACGUGUCUAACAUUUUGUUUCUGUAUUUUCCUGGUUCUGAUUGAAGUUGCCUCAUAAUAUCUUGAUUAUUUUUUAAAUCUUUAUUGAUUUAUUUUGUGAGAGAGAGAGGGAGAGGGCACACGCUAGUGCAAGUGGGGAAGGGGCAGAGAGCGAGGGAGAGACAGAAUCCCAGCAGGCUCUGUGCUGUCAGCUCACGAACCAUGAGAUCAAGACCUGAGACGAAAUCAAGAGUUGGACACUUAACUGACUGAGCCACCCAGGUGCCCCUCUUGUUUACUGGUACCUUUUAUCUUGCUUUGAAACCGCACGUUACGCUUUUGGUGGGUGUAUUGUGCCGUGCACGUGUGUACAUUUUUUCCUGUGCUUUCAUUGACUGUGGGGAUGCUAUUCAGCUCCGUCUUUUUUUCUUAUUAGUAACAUUGUAUGAAGUUAAGCCUCAGUACUUUUCCUUUGUUUAUUUUUAUGAAGAGUUAAUUGUCACGAGUUUUCCGAAGGAGGUGAGGCUCGAUGGAAUUUCUUUCAACUUCACAGAACUGCCUCUUCUGUUGUCCCAAAGUGGUAAUAUAUGGCGACUUGCAUUCUGUGAUUUUUCUGACUUUUGUUCCAUUUCACUUUCGUUUAGCUCUUCUUUUCCCUUUGCUCUCUUGCUUCUGUUCUGCUCAAUUUGUGAUUGUUCCAUUCCCUGUAGCUUCUCCUCUGUUAUGGCUCCUUGUCUUGGAAGGGAGCUAUGGUGAGUUUUUCUGAGUUCGUAAGUGGUUAGCCUUCUUCGCCUUCUCUGGCCUCUUUGUACUAACUUGCUUCCCAUGUAGUCAGAACCCUUGUGGCCUCCAGUGCUGUUACCACAUUGGUCUACCUUAUUGCCUUUUAGCUGUUUCGAAAUCUUCCUAAUGUUAGGUAUGCCAGAUACCCCGUUCCUUCUGGGUUUCUUUCUCUCUCACAGAUGCUGAUCACCACGGGUCUUAGGGCUGUUGGUGGUUUAUGCCCCCUGGUUUGUGAAGAUACCUUGUUUCCUCAUUUUGUUGUGUUAUCACUGGGAGUUUGAUUUGACUCUCUAGUUGAUCUGAUUCUACGUGGGGAUCUAGGAAGAUUUAUAAACGAUGCUGCCAUUCUCCCAGAAUUCCUGGUGUGUUAGUUACUGAAAUGAUUUUCUGCUAAGCCCCAGGACCACAAACUCAUGAAUUCUUAAAUUGUGCCCUGCUGUUUGUCAUGACUACCACUGUUCUUGUGUAAACCUUGAGGGGGGGAUAGGUACAUAAGAUAAGACCCUAUAAAACUGGUUCAGCACAUGUCAGAGGCACAGAUACUCAGUUUUCUUCUGAAAAAUAUUUUAGGCCAGUUUCAGACAUACAGGAGGCAUUCCUCGUCCUGCUUUUCUAAAUAGGUAACCAAGUUGGCCUGUAAAGUCUCAACUAUCACGGUCGAUGGUGAGAAUAUGCUGUCUCCAAACCUUCCUCCCCCAUAGUAUAUGUUUCAGAGCUUCAAGUUUUCCCUAUUGGUGUGUCCCUUACACAAUAACCCUGAAACAUGUUAAUGUUCAGCCAAGGGAACAACCAUUGGUUGUGGAGUUGGAGAUUUGUGGAAAUGUUUUGUUUUGUAUGAUUACUUCUGAUAUAUAUAUUUAUCUGAUGUAAUGUAUCAGCAAAUUAUUAUAGCUGAAAUUUUAUGUUUUGCAGACAUAAACAUUAGCCAUUACAAAUGUCGCAACAGGUUGGUGUAUAUGCACACAUAAUAAAUAAGUAUACUUAUGAACUAUAAUUGCAUAAUUCAAAUGGGAAAAGUCUCAAAAUGUGUAACCAUUAGGUCAAUAUUACUAUUUUAUGUAAAAAUAAAGUAUGCUAAUAAGAGGAAAUGAUAACUUUCCAGUACAUUUCUUAAAUGCAAAUUUAAAUGAAUCCACAUAGAUACUGUCAAGCUAUUAUCAGUAGAAGUAAGGUCUUUUCAACAGCUAGGCUGGAACAGCUGGAUGUUCAUAUGGCAGAAAUAAAAGCGCACAACCUACCUUACGCCUUACCCAAGAAUUAGAGAUGGAUCAUUGACCCAGAUGUAAGGUAAAAAUUAUAAAGCUUCAAAAAGAAAAUAGGAGAGUGUCUUUAUAGUCUUUUUUUUUUUUUUUUUUAAUUCUUAACGUUUAUUUUUUAUUGAGAGA